GGGGGUGUAGCUCAGCGGUAGAGCACUUGGUUUGCAACCAAGGGGUCGCGGGUUCGAUCCCCGCCACCUCCA
RNAcentral lists this transfer RNA (72 nucleotides) under Actinomycetota bacterium. Its description in RNAcentral is "Actinobacteria bacterium tRNA-Ala". It matches the Rfam family "tRNA". Rfam says of the family: Transfer RNA (tRNA) molecules are approximately 80 nucleotides in length. Their secondary structure includes four short double-helical elements and three loops (D, anti-codon, and T loops). Further hydrogen bonds mediate the characteristic L-shaped molecular structure. tRNAs have two regions of fundamental functional importance: the anti-codon, which is responsible for specific mRNA codon recognition, and the 3' end, to which the tRNAs corresponding amino acid is attached (by aminoacyl-tRNA synthetases). tRNAs cope with the degeneracy of the genetic code in two manners: having more than one tRNA (with a specific anti-codon) for a particular amino acid; and 'wobble' base-pairing, i.e. permitting non-standard base-pairing at the 3rd anti-codon position. The record is from RNAcentral. Lineage: Bacteria; Bacillati; Actinomycetota.